CAAUAGCGUAUAUUAAAGUUGUUGCAGUUAAAAAGCUCGUAGUUGGAUUUCGGGGCAGCCUGGCUGGUCCGCCGCAAGGCGAGUACUGGUCAGCCGCCCUUCCUCUCGAAAGCCCCGACUGCUCUUUAUUGCAGUGGUCGGGUAGUUCGGGACGUUUACUUUGAAAAAAUUAGAGUGUUCAAGGCAGGCCUACGCCUGAAUACAUUAGCAUGGAAUAAUGGAAGAGGACCUCGGUCCUAUUUUGUUGGUUUCCAGGACCGAAGUAAUGAUUAAGAGGGACAGUUGGGGGCAUUCGUAUUUAAUUGUCAGAGGUGAAAUUCUCGGAUUUAUGAAAGACGAACAACUGCGAAAGCAUUUGCCAAGGAUGCUUUCAUUAA
This 377-nucleotide ribosomal RNA is filed under the name uncultured eukaryote. RNAcentral's name for it is "partial 18S ribosomal RNA". It matches the Rfam family "Eukaryotic small subunit ribosomal RNA", at positions 592 to 976 of the family's 1831-position model. The record is from RNAcentral.